Molecule: transfer RNA, 71 nt
Filed under: Blanus cinereus (Mediterranean worm lizard)
Lineage: Eukaryota; Metazoa; Chordata; Lepidosauria; Squamata; Blanidae
Description: tRNA-Gln
Rfam family: tRNA
About the family: Transfer RNA (tRNA) molecules are approximately 80 nucleotides in length.
Source: RNAcentral
UAGAUAAUAGUAUAGUGGGAGUACGUGGGAUUUUGAGUCCUGUGGCAUGGGUUCGAGGCCCGUUUAUCUAG